GCCAUGGAGAUUGUGUGGUAUUUAUUAGGCAUAAAUUGGCACACAAAAAUGGGAGAUCAGAGCUGGGUAGGGUUUGUUUUUUUCUCCUUUGCUCCAUGGCUUUGGAUACUUGUUUAUAUCCCCUCCCACAUCAGAAUUCCCACACAUUCCCACCCACCUUCCCAAUGGCUGACACGCAGGUAUACCUCGUUAGUUAAUUAGAAUUACUUUUAAUUAAAAAUAUAUGUAAAUUAUAUAGAGUGUGCACAGCUUGGAGAGGAAAAAAAAAAAAAAAGAAGAAAAGAAAGCAAACUUCCAUUUCAAUAAAAAUUUUAACCUCUUGGAAUCAGCUGCUUUUGUGACAUCCUUGGAGUUAUUGGAACUCCCACGUAUAAAUAAAUAGGACCAGGAAAUUUUACACCUGAAAUAUUCUGCAAUAGACAUUUUUCCUUGCACAUAUUUGCUUUUCCUUCUCUUUUUGAUUCCACCACUCCCAGCUUCUCAUGAUCACUUUCUGCCCCUUUUAAACACAUUUAUUUAAUAUCUCACUUCACACACCCAGACUGAUAUCCCUUUUUUUUUUUUUUUUCUUUUUCUUUUGGAGAGGGAGCAAAGGAACACGGGAGAAAAUGAAAGCCUGGGACUGCAAACAAGCGUCAUCAUCGUUUUGGACUCAAGCUGGAGAUGUUUUCAAGCUUGGAAAUAACCCCACGCUUCCGUCAGAGACGGCUGAAGAACCAGGAAAGACCGAGAGAUGGGAAGGGAAGAGGAGUGAGAGAAUUACAAGUGUGAAAGGAGAAGAGGGGAUGGUUUAUGGAAUGGUUACUGGAGAGAAUUUUUGGGUAUUUGUAAGGAAACAUAGCUCCCUGUGGGAGUAAUUCCACUCUUGGUACAAUGCCUAGGUGAGGAAGGUACUGGAUUUAUUCAUUUGGGGGUUCUCAGUACCUCUUUCUGUUGAAAAGUAAAGAUAAUGCUAAUUAAAAAAAAAAAAAAAACAAACACCACUCCAAAAUCCACCCUUGGUAAAAAGGGCCGGUGUCUUUUUUUCUUUUUUUUCUGAGAAAAUGGAAAGAAAAAAUAUAUAUAUUAUUAUUUAUUAUAUAACAUU
This 1087-nucleotide long non-coding RNA is filed under the name Cyanistes caeruleus (blue tit). Its description in RNAcentral is "lncRNA (ENSCCEG00000021230.1)". The record is from RNAcentral. Lineage: Eukaryota; Metazoa; Chordata; Aves; Passeriformes; Paridae.